This 762-nucleotide ribosomal RNA is filed under the name Austrochloritis nambucca. RNAcentral describes it as "partial large subunit ribosomal RNA". The record is from RNAcentral. Lineage: Eukaryota; Metazoa; Mollusca; Gastropoda; Stylommatophora; Camaenidae.
UUAAUUAAUAGGGACAGAAUUGUUUUUCACGAAGUUGGGGGAGCUAAUUAUUAUAUAUUUAUAGAGGGGAAAAGUGUUGCAUAACCAGUUAAAUAGUAAUUAGGAGUGAUAGGCUAAUCACAUCCAACGAUACCUUGAUGAUUUUUAAAUGUAUUAGUACAUAGGCACCCUUAAAAUGAUAAGGUUUUAAGAGAAGAUUAAGUGUUUUUUUUAUAAAGUAUAUUACUUAACCGUUAAUAUAUCAAUAAUAUAAUAUUUAUUUAUCAUGGUUAUUUGUAUUAAAAAUCUAUAAUUAAAUUAUAAACAUAUAAUUAAUGUUAAUAUUAGUAACAUUUAGAUAUUAAUAAUGAACUCGGCAAAAGUCUUUCAACUGUUUACCAAAAACAUAGCUAUAUGAAUGAAUAUAUAGUAUUUUCUGCUCAAUGAAUAAUUAAAUAGCCGCAGUACCCUGACUGUGCUAAGGUAGCGCAAUCAAUUGACUUUUAAAUGAAGUCCGGUAUGAAAGAAAUUAUGGGGGGCUACUCUAUCAUUAAUAAUAAAUGAAUUUACUUAUGAAGUGCAAAUUCUUUUAUUUACACAAUAGACGAGAAGACCCUAGAAAUUUUAAGAAGAACCUUUUUGUUGGGGCAACAAAGUAGCAAACUAAUCUACUAUUAUAACCAGAAAUACUUAAAUGGGAAGAUUAAAUUACUCUAGGGAUAACAGCAUAAUUUGAAAAAGUUUGUGACCUCGAUGUUGGAUUAGGGAAUUUACGCUUAGAAG